RNAcentral lists this microRNA precursor (63 nucleotides) under Mus musculus (house mouse). Its description in RNAcentral is "Mmu-Mir-384_pre stem-loop". RNAcentral also lists the same sequence under 1 other name. The record is from RNAcentral. Lineage: Eukaryota; Metazoa; Chordata; Mammalia; Rodentia; Muridae.
UGUAAACAAUUCCUAGGCAAUGUGUAUAAUGUUGGUAAGUCAUUCCUAGAAAUUGUUCACAAU